This 254-nucleotide ribosomal RNA is filed under the name uncultured bacterium. Its description in RNAcentral is "partial 16S ribosomal RNA". It matches the Rfam family "Bacterial small subunit ribosomal RNA", at positions 524 to 776 of the family's 1533-position model. The record is from RNAcentral.
CACGUAGGGCGCAAGCGUUGUCCGGAAUUAUUGGGCGUAAAGAGCUCGUAGGCGGUCUGUUGCGUCCGCUGUGAAAACUCGGGGCUUAACCCCGAGCCUGCAGUGGAUACGGGCAGACUAGAGGUAGGUAGGGGAGAAUGGAAUUCCUGGUGUAGCGGUGGAAUGCGCAGAUAUCAGGAGGAACACCGGUGGCGAAGGCGGGUCUCGUGGGCAGUAACUGACGCUGAGGAGCGAAAGCGUGGGGAGCGAACAGG